RNAcentral lists this ribosomal RNA (455 nucleotides) under uncultured bacterium. RNAcentral describes it as "bacterial SSU rRNA". It matches the Rfam family "Bacterial small subunit ribosomal RNA", at positions 8 to 463 of the family's 1533-position model. The record is from RNAcentral.
AGAGUUUGAUCCUGGCUCAGAUUGAACGCUGGCGGCAUGCUUUACACAUGCAAGUCGAACGGCAGCACGGGUGCUUGCACCUGGUGGCGAGUGGCGAACGGGUGAGUAAUGCACCGGAACGUACCCAGUAAUGGGGGAUAACACAUCGAAAGAUGUGCUAAUACCGCAUACGCCCUGAGGGGGAAAGCGGGGGAUCGUAAGACCUCGCGUUAUUGGAGCGGCCGAUGCCGGAUUAGCUAGUUGGUGAGGUAAGAGCUCACCAAGGCGACGAUCCGUAGCUGGUCUGAGAGGACGACCAGCCACACUGGGACUGAGACACGGCCCAGACUCUUACGGGAGGCAGCAGUGGGGAAUUUUGGACAAUGGGCGCAAGCCUGAUCCAGCCAUGCCGUGUGAGUGAAGAAGGCCUUCGGGUUGUAAAGCUCUUUCGCAAGGAAAGAAAACUUAUCUACUAA